AAAGACGAGUGUUAUUCAUCUUUAAUAGGUUUAAAGGGUACCUAGACAGUAUAUUUUGCUUUUAUUGGUACAUUUAUGCUAGAGUUUUAUGUGAGAGGAGUUUAGUACUAACGGAGUAGAGAUGAAAUUUUUUGAUACUGUUGGGCACUGAUAACGGCGAAGGCAGACCUUUAUGUAAAAACUGACGUUGAGGGACGAAGGCUUGGGUAGCAAACAGGAUUAGGUACCCUAAUAGUCCAGGCAGAAAAUGAUGAGUGUCAUAGAUUAGAGCAAUUUUGGUCUAUAAAUGAAAGUGUAAGCAUUCCACCUCAAGAGUACUGUGGCAACGCUGGAACUGAAAUCAUUAGACCGUGCUUGAAACCAGUAGUGAAGUAUGUUAUUUAAUUCGAUAAUCCGCGAAAAACCUUACCACGAAUUGUAUAUAUUUAGCAAAAUAAAACAAAAUCGUUUUAGUUGGAAUCUUUUUAAUAAGAAUGUUAUUUUUACAAGUGCUGCAUGGCUGUCUUAAGUUAAUGUCGUGAGAUGCAGGUUAGCUCCAUUAAAUUAACGUAAACCCUCAUCACACUUUAGGUGUGGUGGUUCUCUGGCAUAUCAGAAAGAUAAGUGGGAACAAGACAAGUACACAUGGCCU
Molecule: ribosomal RNA, 631 nt
Filed under: Arthonia sp. Se2
Lineage: Eukaryota; Fungi; Ascomycota; Arthoniomycetes; Arthoniales; Arthoniaceae
Description: mitochondrial SSU rRNA
Rfam family: Bacterial small subunit ribosomal RNA
Source: RNAcentral